Callithrix jacchus (white-tufted-ear marmoset) is the source of this 74-nucleotide non-coding RNA. NCBI's taxonomy places the organism in Eukaryota, Metazoa, Chordata, Mammalia, Primates, Cebidae. The record is from Rfam.
GCCGGGCGCACCCGUCCCGUUCGUCCCCGGACGUUGUUCUGUACCCCGGGAACGUCGAGACUGGAGCGCCCGAA